This is a long non-coding RNA of Mesocricetus auratus (golden hamster), 1172 nucleotides long. RefSeq lists it as uncharacterized. NCBI's taxonomy places the organism in Eukaryota, Metazoa, Chordata, Mammalia, Rodentia, Cricetidae. The record is from RefSeq and is a predicted model, not a curated record. The transcript has 2 exons.
GAUGCUCUACUGUAGAAUACAGUAUUGUGUGCACUGAGGAAAAAACUUGCAAUUUUGGUUAUUAGGGUGACAUAUGGUCCAUGACUAUGCCCACAAUAAUAGGCAUCCCCAAAGCAAACACAGGUCAAUGGGGAUGCAGAGGAUGCGGGGGAACAAGAGAUGAGGAACUUGGGGUUGAUGUAGGGAAAUCAAGAGUGGGCUUUGCUGCAAAGGAGUCAUAUGCUCCUCCUAACAAUCGACAGUAGCAUGAUGGUAAGAGCCAGUCUGAAUUGUGUGACUCUGAGAAAGAUGAGAAUUAUAUAAUCUGCGAGUGGAAGUGUUCUGCUGAGGAAGCUGAAAGCCAAGGCAGAUCAAUGGGAUGGGAAAUGAUUAAAACUUUAUUGAGGUUUGUGGACAGAAGUCCUGAAUGUCCAAGAGUCAAACAGAGCAUGGAAAAGGAGGGUGUGAUCAAUAAAGCAGUGAUCUAAGGGGGUGAGUGACAAGGGGAACAGGUGCAGAGUGAUUACUAAUUCUGAGAUAAUAAGACUGGACACUCGGAAACUCAUGAGAAACUUUAGAUCCCAUGGUGUGUGUGUGUGUGUGUGUGUGUGUGUGUGUGUGUAUGUGUGUACACAUGGCAGAGGCACCACCCAUCUUUUUCUGCAGACAGAGACUCUCACAGCUCCAAAUUUGAAAAGAAACUGGGCUGGCUGACAAGUAGACCCCAGGAUAUGCCUGUCUGUCUUCCCAGAAGUGGAAUUAUAACCACACGCAACUGAGCCAGAAUUUUAUUUGUCAUCUUUUCUGUGAUUGGAACACAGGCACUUGUGCUUGUGAAGCAGCAACCCCCAUCUCGUCGUCUCUCUGGCCGCUCUGAAGCUUUCAAUAUUGCCUGCAUAGGCCGUUUGAGUGAAGCCUAAGAUUUAACUCACAAAGGCUUCAUUGACAGAAACUCAGACUGUUCAAGUUCAACACGUGACAGAUCUGUGGCAUCAUCAGAAGGGUCUUCUGGUCUACUGGACCCAAAGUAUGUGGAGAACUAAGCUUAUUGAUUGGCAGUGAAUCUCAUACAAAAUACAUCUACAUUUUACAGUUAGCUUUUACAAAUGUAUCUAAAAUGAAUUUAUUUCCUUAUUGACUUGAUACAGCUUAGAGAACAAGAGGCACAUAAAAUAAACCCAUUAUGAAAAUGA